This 440-nucleotide ribosomal RNA is filed under the name uncultured bacterium. Its description in RNAcentral is "partial 16S ribosomal RNA". It matches the Rfam family "Bacterial small subunit ribosomal RNA", at positions 339 to 795 of the family's 1533-position model. The record is from RNAcentral.
CUACGGGCUGCUGCAGUAGGGAAUACUGCACAAUGGGCGAAAGCCUGAUGCAGCAACGCCGCGUGAGUGAUGAAGGCCCUCGGGUCGUAAAACUCUUUUCAAGAGGAAGAGGAAGGACGGUACUCUUGGAAUAAGCCUCGGCUAACUGCGUGCCAGCAGCCGCGGUAACACGUAGGAGGCGAGCGUUAUUCGGAUUUACUGGGCGUAAAGCGCGUGUAGGCGGCUCUAUAAGUUGGAUGUGAAAGCUCCCGGCUUAACUGGGAGAGGACGUUCAAAACUAUGGAGCUUGAGGACGAGAGAGGAAAAUGGAAUUCCGGGUGUAGUGGUGAAAUGCGUAGAUAUCCGGAGGAACACCAGUGGCGAAGGCGAUUUUCUGGCUCGAGACUGACGCUCAGACGCGAAAGCUAGGGUAGCAAACGGGAUUAGAUACCCCCGUAGUC